ACGGAAGGCAGCAGUAGGGAAUCUUCGGCAAUGGGGGCAACCCUGACCGAGCAACGCCGCGUGAGUGAAGAAGGUUUUCGGAUUGUAAAGCUCUGUUGUAAGAGAAGAACGUGUGUGAGAGUGGAAAGUUCACACAGUGACGGUAACUUACCAGAAAGGGACGGCUAACUACGUGCCAGCAGCCGCGGUAAUACGUAGGUCCCGAGCGUUGUCCGGAUUUAUUGGGCGUAAAGCGAGCGCAGGCGGUUUAAUAAGUCUGAAGUAAAAGGCAGUGGCUUAACCAUUGUUCGCUUUGGAAACUGUUAGACUUUAGUGCAGAAGGGGAGAGUGGAAUUCCAUGUGUAGCGGUGAAAUGCGUAGAUAUAUGGAGGAACACCGGUGGCGAAAGCGUCUCUCUGGUCUGUAACUGACGCUGAGGCUCGAAAGCGUGGGGAGCAAACAGGAUUAGAUACCCUGGUA
RNAcentral lists this ribosomal RNA (459 nucleotides) under uncultured Streptococcus sp. Its description in RNAcentral is "partial 16S ribosomal RNA". It matches the Rfam family "Bacterial small subunit ribosomal RNA", at positions 341 to 792 of the family's 1533-position model. Lineage: Bacteria; Bacillati; Bacillota; Bacilli; Lactobacillales; Streptococcaceae. The record is from RNAcentral.